RNAcentral lists this ribosomal RNA (228 nucleotides) under uncultured bacterium. RNAcentral describes it as "partial 16S ribosomal RNA". It matches the Rfam family "Bacterial small subunit ribosomal RNA", at positions 1273 to 1500 of the family's 1533-position model. The record is from RNAcentral.
CCCCUAAAAAUAGUCCCAGUUCAGAUUGCAGUCUGCAACUCGACUGCAUGAAGUCGGAAUCGCUAGUAAUCGCGGAUCAGCAUGCCGCGGUGAAUACGUUCCCGGGCCUUGUACACACCGCCCGUCACACCAUGAGAGUCGGGAACACCCGAAGUCCGUAGCCUAACCGCAAGGGGGGCGCGGCCGAAGGUGGGUUCGAUAAUUGGGGUGAAGUCGUAACAAGGUAGC